Molecule: long non-coding RNA, 26730 nt
Filed under: Citrus sinensis (sweet orange)
Lineage: Eukaryota; Viridiplantae; Streptophyta; Magnoliopsida; Sapindales; Rutaceae
Description: long non-coding RNA (CSIN_LNC001251)
Source: RNAcentral
GGGAAGAGCCAUCUAAGUUUCAACCAGAAAGAUUUUUGACAAGGCACAAGGAUAUUUAUGUUAAGGGACAAAAUUUUGAAUUGUUACCUUUUAGUAGUGGCAGAAGAAUGUGUCCUAGAGUGUCAUUUUCCCUCCAAGUUAUGCAAUUUACACUUGCUUCUCUACUUCAGGGAUUUGAUUUUGCAACCCGAUCUAAUGAACCGGUGGACAUGGGUGAAGGAUUGGGGUUGACCAUGGAGAAAUCUCAAUCAUUUGAAGUACUUGUUACUCCAUGUCUUUCUGCUGCCUUCUACGACUAAAUUGAUUAUAUAUAUAUAGAUUGACCAAUAAAUAAGUGACAAGUGUGUGGUGUCACAUGUAGUGAGUUGUAAAGUCAAUUCCUUAAAGAUAAGGAUGUACUGUGUGAUAUAAUGUAAAUAAGUUAUGAGUCAUAAAGUAGAUUCCCUAGAGAUAAGAUGUAAUGAUGUAAAUAAUAAAAAAAGAUUCCCUUAGUGCCUAUAAAAGGGACUCCCUGGGAGUGUGUUGGAUCAUUGAAAUCUUAUAAUAUAGAGUUAUAGUAAGAAUACUUGGGUGAAACCUUGUAUUCUCUCUUCCAGUAAUAAAACCAUCCUUUGUAUUUUCUGUCUUUAUAACUUGGUAUCAGAGCCAGUACUCCCAAAAGGAGUUUUCUAAGCCCUUCUAUAAUAAAGUAUGCUCUGUGGUCGCCGUUGAAAUGAAUCUUCCACAACAGAAACAUUAUAGAAGACUAGAAAGCAUGUGUUCCCAAAACUAGGUUAUUUGAUCAAGAGCUACAUAGAAAAGAUUUCUUUGAAAAGGCGUGGCACCUUAUUUUUAGUAAGUGACAAGAGUGUUGUGUCACAUGUAGUGAGUUGUAAAGUAGAUUCCUUAGAGAUAAGGAUGUACUAUGUGAUGUAAUGUAAAGAAGUGACAAAAGUAUGGUGUCACAUGUAAUGAGUUGUAAAGUAGAUUCCUUACAGAUAAGGAUGUACUGUAUGAUGUAAUGUAAAGAAAUGAUGAGUCAUAAAGUAGAUUCCCUAUAGAUAAGUUGUAAUUAUGUAAAUAGUAAAAGGAGAUUCUGUCAGUGCCUAUAAAAGGGACUCCCUAGGAGUGUGUUGGAUCAUCGAGUCCUGGAGUCUUGUAAUAUAGAGUUGUAGUAAUAAAACCUUUGAUAAGGCAUGAUCCAUCCUUCUUUAUAUGAAGGCAAGUGGAUGAAGAAGAUAUAAAAAAUUUAGUUCACUUGCAAGCCAUUCUCAAAGAAGCAUUCCGUUUGUAUCCUGCUGUGCCAUUCUUAGUUCCUCAUGAGUCUAUGGAAGAGUGCACAAUUAAUGGUUACCAUGUCCCUGCCCGCACACAACUUUUUAUCAAUGCUUGGAAAAUUCAACGUGAUCCAAGUGUUUGGGAAGAGCCAUCUAAGUUUCAACCAGAAAGAUUUUUGACAAGGCACAAGGAUAUUUAUGUUAAGGGACAAAAUUUUGAAUUGUUACCUUUUAGUAGUGGCAGAAGAAUGUGUCCUAGAGUGUCAUUUUCCCUCCAAGUUAUGCAAUUUACACUUGCUUCUCUACUUCAGGGAUUUGAUUUUGCAACCCGAUCUAAUGAACCGGUGGACAUGGGUGAAGGAUUGGGGUUGACCAUGGAGAAAUCUCAAUCAUUUGAAGUACUUGUUACUCCAUGUCUUUCUGCUGCCUUCUACGACUAAAUUGAUUAUAUAUAUAUAGAUUGACCAAUAAAUAAGUGACAAGUGUGUGGUGUCACAUGUAGUGAGUUGUAAAGUCAAUUCCUUAAAGAUAAGGAUGUACUGUGUGAUAUAAUGUAAAUAAGUUAUGAGUCAUAAAGUAGAUUCCCUAGAGAUAAGAUGUAAUGAUGUAAAUAAUAAAAAAAGAUUCCCUUAGUGCCUAUAAAAGGGACUCCCUGGGAGUGUGUUGGAUCAUUGAAAUCUUAUAAUAUAGAGUUAUAGUAAGAAUACUUGGGUGAAACCUUGUAUUCUCUCUUCCAGUAAUAAAACCAUCCUUUGUAUUUUCUGUCUUUAUAACUUGGUAUCAGAGCCAGUACUCCCAAAAGGAGUUUUCUAAGCCCUUCUAUAAUAAAGUAUGCUCUGUGGUCGCCGUUGAAAUGAAUCUUCCACAACAGAAACAUUAUAGAAGACUAGAAAGCAUGUGUUCCCAAAACUAGGUUAUUUGAUCAAGAGCUACAUAGAAAAGAUUUCUUUGAAAAGGCGUGGCACCUUAUUUUUAGUAAGUGACAAGAGUGUUGUGUCACAUGUAGUGAGUUGUAAAGUAGAUUCCUUAGAGAUAAGGAUGUACUAUGUGAUGUAAUGUAAAGAAGUGACAAAAGUAUGGUGUCACAUGUAAUGAGUUGUAAAGUAGAUUCCUUACAGAUAAGGAUGUACUGUAUGAUGUAAUGUAAAGAAAUGAUGAGUCAUAAAGUAGAUUCCCUAUAGAUAAGUUGUAAUUAUGUAAAUAGUAAAAGGAGAUUCUGUCAGUGCCUAUAAAAGGGACUCCCUAGGAGUGUGUUGGAUCAUCGAGUCCUGGAGUCUUGUAAUAUAGAGUUGUAGUAAUAAAACCUUUGAUAAGGCAUGAUCCAUCCUUCUUUAUAUGGGAGUGAAACAAAAUAAUUUUCUCUAGAUCAGAACUUGUUUGGAAUAUCUGCACAGCACUGUAAAAGUUCUUUGUGCUGGAUUUCAAAUUUCUAGAAUUGAGAUUUUUGGAUUUACCUCUUAUCACCCCUCCAAAAAAUGGACUGUUGCUCAACCCAUGGAAUCAUGAAGAAAUGGACUUUUGAUCAACAGGAUUGGUAAUUGUAUAACCAAAACCUUCUGGAUGGAAAGUGAAUGAGGCAAUAAGACUCAAGAAAUCUGUUCUAAGUAGUAGAUCUUCUCCUGAAGAGUUAUAAGUGAAGAAACUAAUCACCACUUGUUGCUGCAAAGCUAACUUGUAUCAGUACAUGGUACCUUUUGGGUAGAUAAUUUCCACAGAUGAUUGAAGAAACAGCUCCAGUAUCAAUUAAGGUAGUGAAAGCAAUCUGUUUAUUAUCUGAUAACUAGAGGAUGACUUUGACAUAGGGUUUGAAUGCUGAUGUUGACUGCAUUUUUAGAUCAAUAGGCUAUUCUUUAGAAAUAUUUAGAACUUGUUCAUCAUUUGAAGAUUCUUCUGGCUCGUUUGACUCGCUGGAUGUAUCAGACUUUUGAGACUGUGAGUCAAUUGCGAGUAAUGCCUGUUUAGGAUUGUCAGACUAUUCAUAGUACUCAUCAUCAAACUCUGGAUCUUCAAUGAGUUGAAGUAGCUUGGUCAAACUCCUCUUCUUGGGUUUGCAUUAUUUUGCAAUAAUGUCCUUUCUUGCCACAAAUGAAACAUCUGCAUGACCUUUUCUAGAACUUUUUUCUUUUGACAAAGCGGAGCUUCUUGCUUUUGUAUGGUCUCCAGGGUUUUGUUUUCUUGCUGUGAAACUUCUUCGAACAAUAACAUGAGCUGCUUGUUUCAUGGCAACUAAAUUUGUUGCGUUUGUCAUUGCAGUAUUUGGACAAAGAGGAUUUCUUUAUCUGCUUCAUGUACUUCCUUAAUUCUUGAUUCCUGCAAUGAUUCUGGAUCGACAACAUAGUAUUGUCAUUGCAGUAUUUGGACAAAGAGGAUUUCUCUAUCUGCUUCAUGUGCUUUCUUAGUUAUUGAUUUCUCUAUCUGUGGGCUUUUGGAAGAUAUAGUAAAGUCGUUGCUGCUCCAUGUAGUAUUCUUUAAGCUUUUAAACAUCACAGCAAUUGUUCUAGAGGAAUUGUUUUUCUUGGCAACUGUGUUUUUCUUGGUCCGGAUCUAAAGAAAUCUGUUGUAAAAGUUUCUAAAACAACAGCACAAGGGUCUGGUCGGGAUAACAUACAUUCUCGUUGGAUUGGUGUCAAGAUGUUACUCCACUAUAACCUAAGCGAUCCAGUAAAGCCUGCUACUAAUCUAUGCAUAGUUGCUCUUCUGGUUAGCUGUGGUGUCUUUGGCAUUCUCCUUCAUACCAUGCUAUCAUUUGUUCAAUGUAAGGAAUUUUGUCUUGUAGUUUGAUAUUAUAAAUAUUCCAAAUGACUUUUCCUUGAGGAGAAUGUGAAAUCUGGACUCGUGUUUCCUAUUCUUAGCAUUGUUCUUCUUCUUCACCCAUUUGUUCUUGUUGAUGUUCUUACCGAGAUUGUUGUGGCUGUCUUUUUGGAGGAUCUGAAGAUGUUACUCCUGAGUGUUGGCCUGUCUCGAAGGUAAAUGGUACUGUGAACCUUGUCCUUGUGUCAACAUAUCUUGGAUUGGCAGGAUAUUGAGGUCUUCCUUCCAUUAUUAUUGGUCUUCUAAAAGAGCAAAAUGAAUCUACAGUUGGAUUGGAUUCAGAUGAACUUUCUGAAUCUUCCUAACUUGUAACUAUAACCGGCCAUGGUUGUGCUGGUGGCAUCUCAUAGCUUCUUUAGAAUGCUUUGGUGUUGUUGCCAAUGGAGCUUUCUUCCAAUAUAUAAGCUGGUUUGGAAGGCUUGUCAUUUUUCCAGGAAGUUUUCUUUUGUUUUCUUUUAUAGUAGUCCUGGUAGCAUUACACGGCUCUCCUUAUUUCUUCUUCACUAUCGGCUCAUGUCUGAGCAAACAUUGUUAUUCUUCUGGGUUUUUCAUGCCAUUCUGACAGCUGUCUGUUUGUGAAUCUUUGGGCUUUUUCGAGUUUUCUUGAUUUGUUUCUGCAGUUUCUGUAUCCGGUUUCAUGGUUAAUCCAUUUAUCUAGACUAACACUUUUAUGGUUUGAGGAAGGGUUGGCUUGUGUAGGUCAAGGGUAAAAUUUGGUUCCACCUGCUCAACUACAUGUCCUUGGUUGAGUCCCACCUCAACUGCUGAGAUUAAAGCCUUUCCAAAAGUUUGCCAUCUUGGAUCAAGAAUGGCGAGAAAGCAAGUGACAUUUUUGCCUGCAAGAAAUAAAGGCUGGAUUCUAAGUCUGAUUGCACCAAGAUGCAAUCCUCUAUAUCCUUCAAUCAUAUAUUUCUUGACGUCUUGAGGAGAGAGAAUAUAAAGAUAGGUUUCUAUGGAACUAGAGGAGAUAGAUUAUACUGCAACUUCAGAAGACUUAUAUACAGACUUGAGUUUCGGCUGACGAAAAGGAACAACAUAUUUAAACAGGACAUCCAAACACUUCUGGACCUUAAGCUCAUCAGGCCCUCUAAAUCUCAUUAGGCCAGCCCAGAACAAGCAUUCGGAGCAAGUUCGUGGAAAGAAAAGAUUAGUGAUUGACUACAGGAAGCUGAAUGAUUGCCUAGAAUACAUUAGGUAUCCAAUAACUUUGCUUCCACUCAACUAGUGCUGCUUCUCUCUAUAGACGAUGCGAGGUGACACCAAUCGAACGAGAAUAUAUGUUAUCCCGAACAGACCCUUGUGCUGCUGUUUUGGAAACUCUUACAACAGAUUUCUUUGGAUCCGGACCAAGAGAAACACAGUUGGUAGAAAAACAAUUCCUCCAAAACAAAUCUAUGCGUUUGUCUUCCAACCCAAUUUAUUCUUUCAUCAUGUCAUUGAUAAAGACACAAUUUGGGGACAUUAUGUGAUUUGUGAUGCUAUGCCACGAGCAUAUUAUUCUUUCUGGCUACUCCUCAAAAUGUAUUCCAUGGCUAUUCUAGAAGAGAGAAUACAAGGUUUCACCCAAGUAAUCUUACUACAACUGAUAUAAAGACCCUAAUUUCCUCCAUAAAAUCAGUUGUUCCUUUUCGUUAGCCUAAACUCAAGUUUGUAUAUAAGUCUUCUGAAGUUAUUGUACAAUUUAUCUCCUCUAGUUCUAAAGAAACGAUCAACAAGACUGGUAAUUAUAUAACCAAAUCCUUCUAGAUGGAAAGUGAGUAGUGUUAGCCUAAAGGGCAACACAUAAUGUAAUUUUGAUGAUAACAAACAUGUGUCUUGAUUGAUUUAAUAAAUAUUGUAUUUCACAUUUUCACUAGUUUUUGAAGGAUAAUAUUUAUGCAAGUGAAAUUAAGUUGAAGACACUCAACGGAUAACGAUGAAAUCAAGAAUAAAGUUUAGAGCUCAACAAACAAAUUAUUGCAAUAAAUUCUUGUAAAGUUAGUAUGAUUUAAUUGAUGCAUGAUUUAACAUUUGAGAAGCUCAGGAGAUUAAUUUAAAUAAUUACUUUUCAUAAACUAAAAGAUUUUAUUUUUAUAAGAUAGAGUAUUUUGUGGAUUUAAGUAAUUUGGACUUAAAUGAAAAGUUUGGCAAUCUUUGAAUUUAAUAAGUAUUAUUUUGAAUUCCGAAGUUGGACUUUUUUGCAAACAUUUGAAAUAUUUUGGGCCAUAUUAUAAUUUAUAAAAGUUUGAGGACCCGAAUAUAAUUCAAACAUUUGAAAUCCAAAAUUGGACAGAGAGUGAGCAGCUAAUAGCCUGAGGCUAGCGGCUAGCCGUCUGAGGAAAGUCUCAUAUUUUCAAAUUUUGACUAAAGUGAAAGGUUUUGAGAACUUUGAAAGAUAUAGGUAUUAUGUUGAACUUUGAAAAGGACCUCUUUCAAAAGUACUACUAUAUUUGUGGCCAUAUCACAAUUUCAUAAAGGUUUGGUACGACAAGUAUUAUUUAAAAAUUCCAAAUUUGGACUUGUUUGCAAACGUUUAUGAUGAUUUGGGUCAUAGUAUAAUUAUAGAAAGUUUUAGGCCAAAGUGUAUUUUGGUGAACAGUGUUACUGUAGCAAAAUUCAAACAUAACGGUAAUAUCACUGUUACAAGUGGUUAGCCGGAUAAAUCAAACGGCUAACCGCUUGGUUGCAGGAAUUUGCUUAUAACGGCUAGUUUUUGGGUUUUAACUAUAAAAACUCAAUUCCAACUUCAUUUUAAACUCUCUAGCAAGCACAAACAAGUUUGAACAACAUAUUUUGAGCUUUUAAUUCACAAAUCAUCAUAGAUUAAAUCUUUAUUGUGCUAUUAUUUGCGUAUCCACUCUAAAAGAGAGUUCUUUGUUGUAAUCAUUAUUUUCCCAUCAAAUUUGUGAGUGUGUAAGUGUGAGAAACACUUGAGUGAAGAGAUUGGGAGACAAUUUCUUAGUUGUAAAGGUUUAUUGACACCUUGGAAGUCAAUUGUAAAGAACUUGAAGCCUUGGGAGGCUUGGAUAGUGAAAUCCUCGAGCUUGGUUUGCUUGGCGGCGUGGACGUAGGUCGGGAUUGCCGAAUCACGUAAAAAUUAUUAUGUUUGCUCUCUCUUCCCUUACUCUUUUAUUAUUGUGCAUUAUUCAACUUAUUGUUUUUAAUUUGAUUAAGGCAAUAGAUUAAAUUAUUGUGCAAAUUGUUUAACAUAAGUUUUAAAAUCUCAAUUCACCCCCCUCUUGGGUUGCAUAACUUGCAUUUCAAAUAGGGCAAUGAGACUCAAGAAAUAUGUUCCAAGUAGUAGAUCUUCUCCUGAAGAGUCAUAAGCGAAGAAACUAUUUCUUUUAGCAAAUGGUAAAAUUCAAUAGGUUUAGUGUACUUAUGAUUAUAGAAUUGAUCACCACUUGCUGCUGCAAAGCUAACUUGUGUCGGUACAUGGUAUCUUUUGGGUAGACAAUUUCCACGGAUGAUUGAAGAAACAACUCCGACCAAAUGGCAUCACGUUCCAUUCAUAGUGUCCAUAUGGCACUACAAAUGAUGUCUUAUGCCUAUCGUCAUCUUUGAUCCCAAUAUGCCAAAAUCCUAACUUCAAAUCGAACUUUGAAUAAACUUUAGGACCCAAGUAUUCUUACUACAACUAUGGGAUGAUGUGUCCAUCUUUGAUGUGAAGUCCCAAAAAAUCAAUCUUGUCAAGUCCAAUCUUCAUUUUGGAUUCAGAUAACGCCAAGCCAUGUCACCGCGCAUGGUCUACAGAGAGAAGCAUUGGGGACGAGACAAACCACCUCUAGUUCGAGUUUUAUAAAACUUUCAAAAAUCUAAAAAUCUCCAAUCCAGAAAUUUGAAAUCCAGCACAAAGAACUUCUAAUGCCCACCUGUAGUUACCAUAUCUUUGCCAGCACGCAGUUUUUUAUCAAUGCCUGUCAACUUCAACGUGAUCCACGUAUCCGGGAAGAGCAAUGUAAGGUUCAACCAGAAACAUUUUUGACAAGGCACAAGGAUAUUGAUGUUAGGGGACAACAUUUUGAAUUAUUAUCUCGUGGUGGUGGAGGAAUGUGUUCUGGAGUGUCAUUUUGCCCUCCAAGUUAUGCAAUUUACACUUGCUCCUUUACUUGAAGGCUUUGAUUUUGCAACGCCAUCUAAUAAACCGUUGGACAUGGGUGAAGGAUUAGGGUUGACUGUGGAGAAAUUUGCACCACUUGAAGUACUUCAAAAUUGACUACAACACUUCAAAAUUGAAUUUCAUUUGUUUAAAAAUUUUGAAGAUUGGGGGGUGGAAUAGGGAAGGAAGAUGGUUGAUUAUUAAAGAUUCUUUAUGAUGUAAACUAGAAAAUCGAAAGGAUCGCAUGUACCUCAUUAAAGUUAAAAUCUUAACAAGAUUCUUUAUGAUGUAAACUAGAAAAUCUUAUGAUGUAAACUAGAAAAUCGAAAGGAUCGCAUGUACCUCAUUAAAGUUAAAAUCUUAACAUAUUAAGUUCCCUUUGUAAAUAUCUUUUUAAGGUACUCAAAAGGAAAAUUUUAAGAUUUUAAAUGGUAAGAAAAUAAAACAUUGAUUUCAAUGCCCUAAAUGAGUGCUCAGAGUAAUAAUAUUAUAUAUGUGCAUAAUUAAGUGUCCUUAAAAAUAAUUUAUCGCAUGGAUAUUUUUGUAGUAAAUUUUUUUAUAAAAAUAUAAGUAUUAAGAGUAAUUUUUAGAGUACAUAUAGCCCUGCUCUUAACAGAAAUAUAUGGUAAUAUUUUAUUUUAAAAAAUAAAAAAGGAUGCUGGGAAUACAAUACCGUUUUGCAAGGACAUAAAGGGGCACACUAAUUAUUCUCCCUCAUCCCCCUUGCAACUUCUUCUAUUGGUAGUUCUAGAUGAUCAGAUUUUAAGGGGAAUGUAGAUAUAAUUCGAUUGGUUUUGAGACACAUUAUUGUAUUCAUUUAUUUAUUUUUCCUAAGCUUUGCCUAAUGAGAUUCAAACCUUUCCCACUCACGUGACGGGCUCAAUCAGGAUCUCUUGAGUCUUGAUCUAUCAAGUAUCACUAAAAGAUUUUUACUAUUUUUUUGGAUUAAAAAAAUUUAUUUAGUUGAAGGAAAAAUCCCCUACACCCUCAAAAUUUUGUUAAAUGAUUACAUAGUCCUUUUGAUUUCAAAAUGAUCGUAUAGACCUUUUUUUUCCUAUUAUAUCCUUUAAUAGUAGCCAAAAUUUUAAAAUGAAUACAAUUACAAUGCUAAUAUAAAACAAAAAAUAAAAUAGCAAAUAAAUAUAAAUAAUUACAAAAAUAAACAUAAUAAUGAAAUAAAAUAUAUAUUAAUCUAUGAAACAAACGCAAAUACUCAUGAAUUUUAUUAGUAUUAAAAUAAAUGCAUUUAAAAUAGAAAAUAAGUAAUAAAAUUUACUUAUAUAUUUUAUUUAUAAUAUUAAACAAUAGAUUAAUAUUAAAUUUUUUUUUAAUAUUAUGUUUUAAUGUUAUUAUACUGCUGUACCGUACAAUUUUAUUUAAAGUCAAAUUUUGGAUUAUCAUAAUUGAAGGGUAUAUUUAUAAAAAAGAGAUUUACAUGAUCAUUUAUGAAACGAAGGGCUAUUUUUUUUUUUUUUGACUUUAUAACUUAAUUGACUUAAUUUCCAUUUAUUAAGUCAUUAAAUCUGCUUAGUUUUUCCAUUUAGUCAAAAAUUUUAGUCGCUAAGUCAUUAAGUUACUAAACCAAUUUUUGUUUUUAGCUUUUUGCUUAAUUUAAAAGUCUGAAUGAUAUCAUUAAAAUAUAUUCAAAAUAUAAUUUCCAUUUAUUAAGUCAUUAAAUCUAUUUAAUUAAUUAAUUUUCAUUCUUACCUAAAUAAAAUUUAAUAAUUAGAAUCAUUACCCAUCCCUAUAACUCGUGAAAAUAUAGUGCAUUGAUAGAAUAUUAUUUUUUAUCUUUUUAUUUUAAUCAAAUUAGCAUUCUUUAUCUUGAUUAACGUACACUAUUUAGAAUAUUAAAGGAUUGUAUUCAAUUGAACAUAAUUUAUGUUAUUAUAAAUAUUAUCUUAUUUAUGCUCUUUGAGAUAUUUAUUAUUUGUUUCACAUUUAUAAUUUAGACGGACGCAAACACAAAAAUAUUAGUUUUCAGAUUUUUAAGUUAAAAUGUAAAUAACUUAAUAUUUAUUUUUAGUGAUUCGGACAAAAGAAUAUUAUUCAAGUUCAGAAAUUUAGUUCUAUUUUGAAUUCAGACUAAUUGAGAUCUGUUCAGAUUUUAGACAAGAAAACAAAUUUUAAGAGAAUUUAUGUAACUAUUUAAGAAAACUUUGAUGGUGGGGUGGCUACUUUCAUUAAUUAAAUUGCUAAUAUCUUGCAUUUUUUUGAGUUGAUAAUAAUAGAGGUGGGUACUGUGCCCGAACCAAUUGGCUCUGUUGCGUGUUAUAUAAUUCAAUAAUAGCAGCGCGCCGUGGCUUCCAACUAAGAUUAGAAAAGAGAAAUAUCUUGGUUAUCUUUUGUAUAAUCUUUAGUAAAUAUUCAAACUUUACUAAAUAUUAAAAUAAACAUAAUAAUGUAAACUAAUUGUAAAAUUUAUUUAACCCAAAGAUUUAUUUAGAAUCUUUAUAUUAGAUACAAGUAUAUUAUUUACUUUUUCUAAAUCAAUAAAUAUAAUAAUUUACAUUUUUAAAACUACUGUAAUGUUUAAAAAAUAUUUUAUUGUUAUUAGUCCAGAAAAAUUGAAUUAUUUAUAUUGUAUUUGUAUUUAUUAAAAAAUAUUAAAGUCAAUUUCUUUGAGUUACUAUAUUUAAAAUGUUUAUGAUAAAAAAUAAUACUUAGUGUUCCUUUUUAAAAACUUAGAGAUUUACAUGACUAUUUUUUUUAAAUUGUAAGAUGUCGGUGAUCUUUUUCAAAUAAAAUGUAAUCUUCAUAUACCUAAAAAAUUACUUAAUAUAUAAGCAAGGCUUGUGAACAUAGAACUGUUAUCCAAACUAUGAUGAAUACAAAGAAUUAAUAUUUCACAACCUCAAUUAUGUUACUCUUAACUAUUCGGAUAGAUAGUGACAUGUUCAUAAUUUUCUUCACUUCAAUCACAACUGUUUCAAUAAUUAUUCUCUAACAUUUGCCAUGAUGGGUUUCUUGGAUUAACUAGUCAAAAGGCCUAGAUAUUGUCGAUGGCGCAUGAACUAAUCAGUGUAUAUUAUCAUUUGGUACGUCAGUGCUGCCUAUUUUCCAUGUUGAAAUACAAUGUUUUAGCUGUAAAUUUUGAUAAUUUAGUACGCAAGUUUACAAAUCUAUUUUGUCUUUGUGCACUUUUUAAUUGUAAUAAUAUAUACUGAUAUACACACAUAUUGCUGCCACGAUUCGCCAAAGGCAGCUGAUCCGUAGCCGAAAAAUCGAUGUAUCGAACCCCUGACCCUAACUUGAAAUUGCUGUCGUUGCCAACUGAAUCGCUGCUCUCUGUCUUUGCUUACAUCUGGCUUCACGAAUCGCUGCCGCUGCCCGCUGCCAACUGAGUUACGAUCUAGCAGCUAUUGCUGCUCUUCGCAUCUGAAUCAUGAUCUAGCAGCCAUCGCCCAUCGGUGCUCUUCAUAGGUGACUCCCAACCUCCAUACCUACCACUUGCCUCGGGUCUGCGGGGAAAAGCUCUCACACUCGAGAUUCUCUUGCCAUCAAACUCUUCGGAAAGAAAAUCGCCUUCCAUUUGGAUGGAGAGGUUUUUGGUCAUCUUUGACGAUGAAUUGCCGUCUCCGGCGGCCAAGGAAGAAUGUAGCACAGAAGCAUAAGAAGAAAAAACAGAGGAGGUAUAGUUUUUAUACAAUUACACAAACUUUUUACGGAGUGCUUUAUAUUCGAGUCUUAAGGACCACCCAUUUGUUAAAAUGCUAAAAAUAUUACGGGGUCGGUUUUACUUUUUUUUUUUUUUUUCAAUUAGCAUGGCAUGCUAAGCACUGACAGUUUGUUCUUUUAUUUCUGUUUUUUAUUUUUGACUUUCUGUGUUAAAUUGAAUUUCAUUUUUUUGUGGAUUUUUCUUUUUUGAAGUUGGAAAAGAAUGAUGGAUGAAAAGCCUGAGAUGCAACUCCUUACAUACAAGUUGCAAGACAUCCUCCCAUGAUGGGAAAGCAUGGUGUAGCAGCUGAAGGGCUCUGGCGCCUUGACACCUUCAACUGGUGCCCAAGACCUUUAAUUCAGAUCAGCCAGAUGCUAUAGAGAUGAUUUGUUGGAAUCUUGAUUAAGAACCUAGAUGGUGAUGAAUUAAAAGAAACAGAGAACAUAUCAGAAUCGAAACGAAUAAAGAAAAAACUAAGAAUUAAAGAACAGGGGAAUAACAUAUAAAAGAAACAGAGAACAGAUCAGAAUCAAAACGAAUAAAGAAAAAACUAAGAAUCAAAGAACAGGGGAAGAUAAUGUGGUUGAGCUAAUUCUCAUUAGCUUACAUCCACGGAGGAACAAAGUGACAGACCUUUCAUUGAUUGAUCAUCAAAGUAAAGUGAGUUUUCCAGAGUACAUAUAAUUGAAUAUUAACCCUUUAAUCACAGAGUCUUUAUUCCCUUUUGUACUCCUCAGUGUAGCGUCAGUUAUUUGCACCAGAACCAGCUGCAUUCAGCAGCUUGUAACAACGUAGAUGCAAUUUCCAUAAACUCACAUGUGAGGCACGUGUGAUAACGGCUUCUAACGACCUGAAUACAAGCUUCCUUCUCCACGUGCAUCUCAUGUGCUUCAUUAAACCAGAAACGGCAAUGUAUGAAGUCGUUUCAAUGAUUAUUAAAUGUACGCAUCAAAACGCUGCAGCUAUUGUCGUUUUUACUGAAAUAGUAAGAACCCAAAACGCACUAUACACAGGCCAUUUUGAAGCCAUUGAAGUUGUUUCACCAGUUACAAAACACAUGGUUUUUCUGGGGGCUCAUAUGUAAAUCCAGCAUCAAUAGAAUCCCUACUUUACCUGCUUGAGCGGGCGAAAUAAAAUAAGCUAGGAACCGUUGCUGAACAUUUACCUAACCAAAGUCAUCGAUUCCGGUACAUUUUUACUUUGCUUCAAUACUUAUCGGUUCUUUUAUUUUGUCACUCGAACCAAACCGAAAAUUUUAGUUUUCUCCCGACAUCGAACCGACCUGAACCAAUGCCCACCCGUAGUUAUUAUAUCCUUGCCAGCACACAUCUUUUUAUCAAUGCCUGUCAACUUCAACGUGAUCCACGUAUCUGGGAAGAGCAAUGUAAGGUUCAGCCAGAAACAUUUUUGACAAGGCACAAGGAUAUUGAUGUUAGGGGCCAACAUUUUGAAUUAUUAUCUCGUGGUGGUGGAGGAAUGUGUUCUGGAGUGUCAUUUUGCCCUCCAAGUUAUGCAAUUUACACUUGCUCCUUUUCUUGAAGGCUUUGAUUUUGCAACGCCAUCUAAUAAACCGUUGGUCAUGGGCGAAGGAUUACGGUUGACUGUGAAGAAAUCUGCACCACUUGAAGUACUUGUUGCUUUACUUCUUUCUGCUGCUUUUGAUAGCUAAAUGGAUUCACGAUGUAAUCAAUUUAAUAAUUUUUUUAAAAUAAGUAUUGAUGCUCUUUUGCUUGUAUACUCUUGAAUAUUAGGCCUUCUUCUGCUUUGAAUAUAAAUGUCUGAAUUAUCAUUAGACAUAAAUAUCCAUUAUUAAACAUAUUUUUAUACCAUUUUGCAAGGACACAAGGUAACAAGUACCGCCUUCAGCACUACUCAAUGUCAUCACAAGUUCAAGAAAACAAAUGAGAAGAUCAUCCAGUUUUUCUUGUUAACCUAACUGGUUUAUUUUUACAUACAAUGUGAACUAUCUUAUAUUACUUCCUAAUAGUGACUUUGCAAUGGAUGCUACUAUUGAUUUCAACGGGGAGUAAUGGGGUUUGCAGCUAUGAUAACCAAGCCCGAAUGGUUUAGUUAUGGCUGCAGGGUAUCCUAUGGUGUUUAUUCUAAUGAUGUGGGCAUUGCUGAGGCUGAGGCCUAUUAUUUUGGUGUACGGUAUUUGCUGAGGAAGUUAAUUUAUUUCCUUUGAUUUUUGAGUCAGAUUCAUUGCGUGUUGUUCAUUUCAUUAAGAGGUAGCAAAGCACUCAUAUGAAUCAAUUUUAUGGAUUAGGAUCCUCUCCUGAUCUAAUUUUCAUCUGAGCAAAUUAUUUUAAUAUGAUUGGUGGUUUAUAAAUUAAAAGGAAAAAGUAGUUAACUUCUAAUCAUCCACUAACAUUAAAAUACAAGUGGCACAAGAUCUAUAAAAGAUCAGGAGUGCUCAAAUCAGGAGAAGAUCCUGAUCCCAAUUUUAUAUCAUUUCAAAACCUCAACACGUGUUAAUACUAAAGUAAGAUUUCAAGAUUUGUAAUAUUUCAAGGAAUCGUAAUAAAACAGGAGAUGUUUUAGCUCAUUUUCAUUUUGCUGCCUGAACAUUUGGAUUGAAGACUUUCCUAACCAUUUGAAUUGUUAUCUUCGAGAUUAUAUAUAGUUAAUGUUUUCAAGAAAUACAUGAGUUAUAUAUAAUUCAGACAAAAAAAAAAGUAAAAUAAAAAGAAGUUGGGAACACAAAACCAUUUUACAAGAACAUAAAAUGGCACAUUAAUUAUUCUCACUUUUAUUCUCACUUGCAACGUGUGGCAACUCUAGAUGAUCGAUUUUAAGGUCAGGCUAUAUUACAUUGUAUGUAGAGAGAUUGUCAGUUUCUCCCAUACUUAAAUCAAUAUAUAUCACUUAUUUUUUACUAUUUUCAUAAUAAUCAAUAACUCUCCUGUCAAUAUAAUUUUAUAGUAUUACCCUUAUUUUCAUAUGCACAUUUAUUGAUAUUUAUUAUAAAUUAAAUAAAUUAUAUAAAAGAAAAUUAAAAUAAAAAACUUAAGUACUAAAAGCAAAAAAUAUAUGUUUCAAUUUGAAUAAAAAAUAAAUAAUAAGAUAUUUUUUCUUGAACUUAUAUUUUUUAAACAUUUUUCUUGUAAUAAAAUAUAUAUUUUAUAUCUCCAAAAUAAAUUAUUAAGCAGAUGACCCAUCUACCCCUCUUUUCCUUUAAAUGUUUUUAUGUCAGGGGAACUUUUGGAUAUUAUGAAAAUAAUAAGAGUGUAAGCGGUGUAUAUUGAUUUCAAUAAGGAGAAAAUUGAUAAUUUUAUUUAUAUGUAAAAUAAGCAAUUCUUGGGUUGUCUCCCAAAAAAAAAAAAAAAUUCGGCAGGUGAAACAAUCAAAUUGUCACGGGUGACAAUUCAUGGGUUUACUGUAUGUUAUAUUUUUUGAAACAUAAUCCAGCCCCAAAUUUAAUGGUAAUGUAAACACACACACACACAUAUAUAUAUUCUGAGCUUUGCCUAAUGAGAAUCAAAUCUUUCCCGUUCACAUGAGGGGCUUAAUGCAGAUCACUUGAUCUCUAUUGUAUCACUAUAAGAUUGGAUCAAAAGAUUUUAUUAGUUGAAGGAAAUAAUCACCUACACCCUCAAAAUUUGUUUAAAUAGUCACAUAAUUCCUUUGAUUUAAAAAAUAUCAUAUAGACCGUUUUUCUUUUUUGGUUCUUACACUAUUAUACCCUAUAAUUGCGGUCAAAAUUUUGAAAUGAAUACAGUUACAAUAUUAUAUAAAAAUAAAAAAUAAAAAAUAAAAUAGCACAUAAUUAUAAAUAAUUAAAAAAUAAAUGUAAUAAUGAAAUAACACAUAUAUGUUAUGCAAAUUAUUUUUAAUAUUAAGUUGUUAUCAAUAUGACAUUUUUUUAAUACUUAAAUCCAUUAAUCUAAAAAUUAAUUUUAAAAUUUAUGCUCAUAUACACAUAAUAUUAAAAAAAUAAAAUAGGAAAUAUUGUAAACAAAAUAAAUAUUGUAACUUUUGUUAAAAUUUGAAUACAUUUAUUUUAAUAAUAUUAAUCUAUGAAACAAAUGCAAAUAUUCUUGGAUUAUUAAUAUUAAAAUAAAGCAUCUAAAAUUGAAAAUAAAUUAUCAAAAUUUAUUUAUAAAUUUUAUUUAUAAUAUUAAACAAUCUGAUGGGUCAUUAUUAAAAUUAUUUUAAUAAUAUAUUUUUUAAUAUUAUAUAUGUUCAUUAUAGACUUUUAUUUUAAGUUAAUUUUUGGGUUAUUGUUAUUGAAGGGUAUAUUUGUAAAAAAGAGAUUUAAGUAAUGAUCUAGAAAUCCAAGAGAAUUAGAAUUUAUGUUAUUGUUUACGAAAACCUUAAGGGUGUGAGUGACUUUUUUCAUUAGUUAAAUAAUUAAUAUCUUGCAUUAUUUUGAGUGGAUAAUAGUAGAGGUGGGUACCAUGCCCGAGCCAAUUGGCUCCUUGUGUAUUAUAUAAUUCAACAAUUGGUUUUCCUUGAGGGCUAAUGCUACAAUGCCGGGCAUUAAAGCCCCGGCACCAUGCCGGAAUUGGAAAAAAACCGUUGGAUUCAAUUAGAUUGAAUCCAACGGUUGAGAUUAAAUUUAUAGUAAAAAUAAAAAUAAAUGGGUUACCUGGUAAACCGUUCCCUCAAAAGAAAAUCCCACAAUUUUCUCUCACCUCAAUCCGAUUUCUUUGCUCUCUCAAAAAAGAAAUCCAUGAAAUCUCAUCUCUCUUUCAAAUUCAUAGUUUUUCUCAUCCCCAUUUUUUCACUCAUCAUCUAAGAUCAAAUCCACCGUCUCUCUCACACUAAUCAACCAAUCGGAUCCAUCUACCCAGGUAUUUGGUUUGUACAUGAGAGCUAGAGAGAGGCAGAGCCAGUAUCGUGUCCGCUGCUUCUUUUCCAACCGUCCACCGUUACCUUUGUUGCACUAUUGUCUACAACAUUAGUUCUUUAGCCUUUACUGUCGUCGUCCUGGCUUUGGCCGGAAUCAUUGCCCCGUGAGCUGCCCCAAGCUGCCAUAGAAAACCCUCAAAACAAGUUAAUUUUUUUUUGGUUGAUUUUUUUAGGUUUCGUUUUUUUUAAGUGUUAUUUUUCUAUGGGUACCCUGAUUUUUUCUUGUUUGGUUUUAGGUGUUGUUUGCUUGUUUUGAGCUCUACACUCUUUGCUAGGAAUACUAAAGAUGGGCGCUCAAUAAUUUGGUAAGAACUUACCCAUUGUUCUGGGUCCGGGUUUUUUUUUUUUUUUGUGAAUUUUUUUUAAUAUUAUAUAUGUUCAUUAUAGACUUUUAUUUUAAGUUAAUUUUUGGGUUAUUGUUAUUGAAGGGUAUAUUUGUAAAAAAGAGAUUUAAGUAAUGAUCUAGAAAUCCAAGAGAAUUAGAAUUUAUGUUAUUGUUUACGAAAACCUUAAGGGUGUGAGUGACUUUUUUCAUUAGUUAAAUAAUUAAUAUCUUGCAUUAUUUUGAGUGGAUAAUAGUAGAGGUGGGUACCAUGCCCGAGCCAAUUGGCUCCUUGUGUAUUAUAUAAUUCAACAAUUGGUUUUCCUUGAGGGCUAAUGCUACAAUGCCGGGCAUUAAAGCCCCGGCACCAUGCCGGAAUUGGAAAAAAACCGUUGGAUUCAAUUAGAUUGAAUCCAACGGUUGAGAUUAAAUUUAUAGUAAAAAUAAAAAUAAAUGGGUUACCUGGUAAACCGUUCCCUCAAAAGAAAAUCCCACAAUUUUCUCUCACCUCAAUCCGAUUUCUUUGCUCUCUCAAAAAAGAAAUCCAUGAAAUCUCAUCUCUCUUUCAAAUUCAUAGUUUUUCUCAUCCCCAUUUUUUCACUCAUCAUCUAAGAUCAAAUCCACCGUCUCUCUCACACUAAUCAACCAAUCGGAUCCAUCUACCCAGGUAUUUGGUUUGUACAUGAGAGCUAGAGAGAGGCAGAGCCAGUAUCGUGUCCGCUGCUUCUUUUCCAACCGUCCACCGUUACCUUUGUUGCACUAUUGUCUACAACAUUAGUUCUUUAGCCUUUACUGUCGUCGUCCUGGCUUUGGCCGGAAUCAUUGCCCCGUGAGCUGCCCCAAGCUGCCAUAGAAAACCCUCAAAACAAGUUAAUUUUUUUUUGGUUGAUUUUUUUAGGUUUCGUUUUUUUUAAGUGUUAUUUUUCUAUGGGUACCCUGAUUUUUUCUUGUUUGGUUUUAGGUGUUGUUUGCUUGUUUUGAGCUCUACACUCUUUGCUAGGAAUACUAAAGAUGGGCGCUCAAUAAUUUGGUAAGAACUUACCCAUUGUUCUGGGUCCGGGUUUUUUUUUUUUUUUUUUUUUUUUAUUUUGAGUUAAUUAUUUUGGGGUUGCAGAGCAAUCUUUAAAAAUCUAUGCAGUGGCGUAUCCUGGAACGAAACCAAAAAAAGAGUUGAGGUUUAUGUUUGGAGUCAUUCUAGGACAGGAAGAGCAGCGCGGAUGAGUUGCAGGAAGAGCAGUGUGGCUCGAGGUAACUCCUCUGUUCUCGUCAUGUAAAGGACCUAGUGUUUUGAUGCUAACUAGUAAGUCCUCGUUUUUUCUAUUAUUUUUUAUCAUUUUCCAUUUCCUCACUUGCGUUCUCAAGAUUUUUGUUUGUUUCUGAGUGAUUCUUAUUUGAGUCCCAACGACAUCCAUCAGUUUUUAAUAUUUAUCAUCAAGGAGAGGUGAAAUUAUUAUUUAAUGACUGGUAUUUUGUAUAUCACUAGCAUUAUUCUUUAUUUUUUGUGAUUUUGCUUUUUAAUUUGUUUAAUUGGGUGUAGUUAUUAUAUUGUGCCUGAAUUGGGACUGGAUGUGAACUAAUCUUAUGCAUCUUGCAAGGCUAUUCAAGAGUAUAUGGAGGCCAAAUCUCUAAGUUCUUUUCAAAAUAUUGGAUUUACUGAUUCCCUAAUGUUCUUUUUCUUUUUCUUUUAUGCAAUGCAACACUUCACGUGAAAUAUGCAACUUAUCACGUAAAGUUCGCAACUUCUAGUAUCUUGCUAAAAGUUUAAUUUUUUCUUACUGCUCUUCAAUUAGGGUAUGAAAUAUAAACUAGCAGCCAGUGCUAAUAAGGAUAAGGAAGAUUUAGAAGGAAGGACAACGUUGCAUUUUGCUUGCGGAUAUGGUGACGUAAAACAAUAUGAGCGUUACCCAUUCUUACUUAUGUUUUCUUGUUCCUUUUUGCUUGAGUUUUAAAGGUAGGGUGUAUGAUUUGGAUAGAAUUAAAUAUUACUUAACGUUUUGUGUUUUUGGUUACUUAGUUGAGGAAGUGCUAAUAAAGCCAAUGGAAAACUAGUAUUUGUGCUAACUGGGGCUUUCUAACUGGGGCUUUCUAGUGACAGUUUGAGCUAACUUAUAUGGUUUAUGGCAUCAAUUGUUCAUCUCCUAGGGAUACUUAGGACCACUUUCUAGUUAGUUUUUUUUAAUGAAAACUUCCUUGGCAAAUUGGCCAAGUUUAUGACAUGGAGUUAAUCAAAUGCACUUGAAUGCUUUAGGUGGAGUGUGCUCAACUACUACUUGAGGUUGGAGCAAAUGUGGAUGUUGUGGAUAAGAACAAGUACUAUCGUACAUUAUACAGCUAAUUAUGACUAAAAGGAAUGUGUAGCCCCUUUGUUGAAGAACGGUGCUGCUGUGUAAGCCAACACCCAAUACUAUUUUAACUCCCGUCUCUAUUUUAUAAAAUGCUAUAUGAUUAAUUCUUUCUACUAUAUUAUAUUUUGUUACCACAGAACUCUGCAGAACAUGGAUCGCAAGACUCCCAUUGAUGUUGCCAAGCUCAAUAGCCAACAUGACAUGCUAAAGCUUCCUGCAACUCCGCAUGUGAAUGAUGGAUUUCGACAAUUUUAUAGGCAUUUUAGUGUGUUAGAUGAAUCUACUCCAGUUAGGCAUUAGGUUUUUAUCGUAACUUGAUGCUUUUGUCAAUGCUCAUGCUUAUUAAUCUGAUUGCUACCACUAAAAUUUGAUAUCAUAAACAAUCUCUUCCCUAGAUGAGUUAUCUGCGGGGAAUAUUCUUGUUAUGGCUUCUUUAAUUCUAGCUAUGAUAUAUUUUUACGUUUUUACAAUUUAUUGCUUGAUUAUGUCAAAAUAAGCACUUAUUUUAGGGUAUCCAUUUUAUAGUUUGGAAAAAGCUAUUCUUAGCCGAAGAAAAUGUGAUCUUAUUUUGGGUAUUUGCUAUCAAUUUAGAUAUUAAUAAUGCUAAACUAAUGCACAUGCCAUAUAUGUGUUGCUAGUUUUGAUUGCUUCCUUGAUACUAUUAAACUUACUUGUCUUGCCCAAUUUAACUUUUGCAAUUUAGUUAUAUAAUCUAUAGUUUUUAUCAAUACGCAUUCCUUUUAUGAGCUUAAUUCAAUUAUAAGAGACUCUUUCCUUAGAAAAUUGCAACAAUGAAUUUUACCCUUUAUGCAGAAUAAAAAAUUUAAAAAUUACCAAUGGAACUAAACAUUUUUGUUGUUUGGUAAUAUAAAAUUGUCAUCGUAGUUAGUUUUCGCUUGAAAAAUUAAACAAAUUACAAAAUAAAUGGUUCAAAUAAUAGUUAGAUUGAUAAAUUAUUACUGGAGUAUCAAACAAUAAUCACUUGAAUUACCAAAUAAUUUUAACGCUAAGGCAGCAAUUUCAUAUUUGUUUCUUAAUAGAUUGGCUUAAUUAAACUUAGUGUUCAACGUUAUCGUCGAAAAUGAUUCUGGACGUUAACAGUGAGCCUUUAUUUGAUGACAGUUCACCAUUAUCUUCUAGAAAUAAGUGUAACUGCUAAUUUGAUUCUGGAAGAUAACGGUCAACCGUUAUCUGAUAACGGCUAAUUGUUAUUUCCAGAAUUACUCUAAAAAAUAUUCAGAAAUAUUCUUUAUUUUGGCUUUAUUCAGGACAUGCAACAUCUAACGUCAAACAUGCAACCGUGACGUCCGACAUGCAACAACUGACGUUAAACAUGAAACUUGCAACACUUCACGCGAAAUAUGCAACUUAUCACGUAAAGUUCGCAACUUGGACAUUAAACAUGAAACGAACGAGAAUAUUUCACAAUAUUCUUUAUUUUGGCUUUAUUCAACACAUGCAAUAUCUAACGUCAAACAUGCAACCGUUACGUCCGACAUGCAACAACUGACGUUAAACAUGAAACUUGCAACACUUCACGCGAAAUAUGCAACUUAUCACGUAAAGUUCGCAACUUGGACGUUAAACAUGAAACGAACGAGAAUAUUUCACAAUAUUCUUUAUUUUGGCUUUAUUCAACACAUGUAACAUCUUACGUCAAACAUGCAACUGUUACGUCCGACAUGCAACAACUGACGUUAAACAUGAAACUUGCAACACUUCACGCGAAAUAUGCAACUUAUCACGUAAAGUUCGCAACUUGGACGUUAAACAUGAAACGGACGAGAAUAUUUCGGAAUAUUCUUUAUUUUGGCUUUAUUCAACACAUGCAACAUCUAACGUCAAACAUGCAACCGUUACGUCCAACAUGCAACAACUGACGUUAAACAUGAAACUUGCAACAUUUCACGCGAAAUAUGCAACUUAUCACGUAAAGUUCGCAACUUGGACGUUAAACAUGAAACGGACAAGAAUAUUCCAAAAUAUUCUUUAUUUUGGCUUUAUUCAACACAUGCAACAUCUAACGUCAAACAUGCAACCGUUACGUCCAACAUGCAACAACUGACGUUAAACAUGAAACUUGCAACACUUCACGCGAAAUAUGCAACUUAUCACGUAAAGUUCGCAACUUGGACGUUAAACAUGAAACGGACGAGAAUAUUCCGGAAUAUUCUUUAUUUUGGCUUUAUUCAACACAUGCAACAUCUUACGUCAAACAUGCAACCGUGACGUCCGACAUGCAACAACUGACGUUAAACAUGAAACGCAACACUUCACGCGAAAUAUGCAACUUAUCACGUAAUGUUCGCAACUUGGACGUUAAACAUGAAACGGACGAGAAUAUUCCGGAAUAUUCUUUAUUUUGGCUUUAUUCAACACAUGAUAUUUAAUCAAUCUGCACACAUAAUUCUCCUUUUUAGCGACUUUGAAACCACAGGGCUGAAUCAUAUAGAUUUCCUCCUCCAAAUCUCCAUGCAAUAAUGUCGUCUUAACAUCCAAUUGAGCCAACUCUAACUCAUAUUAAGCUACCAAAGCAAGUAGAAUACGAAUGAAAGUAUGCUUUACAACUGAAGAGAAUACUUCAUUAUAGUCAAUACCUUCCUUUCGAGCAAAAUAUUUUGCUACAAGCCUUACCUUGUAUCGAAGAGUUGUUUGAUUUAGAGAUCCUCACUUCUUGAUGCAGACCCAUUUAUUUCCAAUAACCAUUUUUCCCUUAGGUAACUCUAUAAGUUCCUAAGUCUAAUUUUGAUGAAAAGACUUCAUUUCUUCUUCUAUGGCUAACUUUUAUUGACCACUUUCACUACUGUUUAUAACUUCGUUGAAAGUGUUGAGGAUGUCAUCAUUAAUAACUAGAAGUGCAUUGGCUACUGCCAUAUCUUUAGCAAGUCAUCCAGGAUUCUUUAUCACUCCUUUUUGUCUCCUUGUUGCUAUAAUAUCAUUUUCAUGUUCUACAUCUAUAGUUGCUUCUUCCUCUGCUGUACCGUACAUCCGCCUUGGCCGUACAGCAGUAUUCUGGAAUAUUCUUUAUUUUGGCUUUAGUCACCACAUGAAACAUCUUACGUCAAACAUGCAAUCGAGACGUCCGACAUGCAACAACUGACGUUAAUAAUGAAACUUGCAACACUUCACGCGAAAUAUGCAACUUAUCACGUAAAGUUCGCAACUUUGACGUCAAACAUGAAACGGACGAGAAUAUUCUGGAAUAUUCUUUAUUUUGGCUUUACUUGCAACACUUCACGCGAAAUAUGCAAUUUAUCACGUAAAGUUUGCAAUUUCGACGUCAAACAUAAAAUGGACGAGAAUAUUCUGGAAUAUUUUUUUUUUUGGCUUUAUUCAACACAUGCAACAUCUUACGUCAAACAUUCAAUCGAGAUGUCAGACAUGCAACAACUGACGUUAAAUCUGAAAUACUAUUUUUUUCAUUUUCAAUUUCUUUAUUUUUUGCCAUUCUAUUUAAUUAUAUUAUAUUGUAUUAUAGGGUUUCUAUUAUAUUAUUUAAUUUCUUUAUCUUUUGCUGUUAAUUAUAUUAUAAAAAACUAUUUUUGACAUUUUAUUUAAUUUUUUUAUUUUUAUAUUGUAUUUUUAAUAUGUUUUUUUUUUUAAAAAUAUGGUGCAACCAGUUUGUUAACCGGCUGCAGCAAGUCUUUGGUUGCCAAAUGGCAGCCAAAGACAGCCGGGCUCUCUUUUUGAGGGCCCGGCAUGGUGUCGGGUACAAUGCCAACGGCAUUGUAGCCAAACCCUAGUUUACGAGUCAGGUUAUUUUGGCUCAAUUUAUUGCCACAUGUAUGGGUUAAAUCAUGUUGUUGGGAGUAAUUCACUUUUCUAUGCUCAUCAAUUAUUAUUAUUAUUAUUUUAUAAAGUGAGCAACCGAUUACAUAGAAGAUAUUAUAAAAUAUUUUUGUUGUAUUACACUCGUUUAAUAUAUAUAUAACAUAUGUAUAUUUAUUUUAAAAAAUGAUACGUGAUUGGUAGUUAUAUUGACUACAUACACAUAUGCUGCUGUACGGCCAAGGCGGAUUGUACGGUACAGCAGAUUAUAAUACCUAUUAAAAUUAAAGCAGUUUUCUAAAGGACGGAACUACCUUGCCUCCGUUACACCAAACACCUAAUUUUGACAUUUUCUUUAAUAGUCUCCAUUGUUUUUGGUAAAUAAUAAAAACUAUAAAUUUUAAAAAUUUUACAUAAAUAUUAAAGUCCAAUUCUUUUACUUACUAUAUUUAAAAGGUUUUAUGAUUAAAAAAAAAGGUAUUUGGUGUUCUUUUUUAAAAACUUAGAGAUUUAAAUAACUAUUUUCUAAAACUUUUAGGAUGUAACCGAUCUUAUUUAAAUAAAAUCUAAUCUUCAUAUACUUAAAAAAUCUAAUUAACAUAUAUAAGCAAGGCCUGUGAACAUAGAAUUGUUAUCCAAAUUAUGGUGUAUAGAAAGAAUUAAUAUUUCACAAUCUAAAUUACGUUACUCUCAACUGCUCGGAUAGACAGUGACGUGUUCAUAAUUCUCUUCACUUUAAUCACAAAUAUCUCAAUAAUUAUUCUCUAACAUUUGUCAUGAUAGAUUAAUUUCUUGGAUUAACUAGUCAAAAGGCCUGGAUAGAUGGCGUAUGAACUAAUCAACAUAUUUUAUGAUUAGGUACAUUAGUGCUGCCAAUUUUAAGUUGAAAUAUAACAUUUUAGCUGUCAAUUUUGACAAUUUAAUAUGCAAGUUUACACCUCUAUAUUGUCUUUGUAUACUUUGUAAUAAUAUCAAUAGAAUUUUAAGUGUAUACAUUAGAGGUAUUAUAUUAGUCAUUCAACAAGUAAAUAAUAUUUAUAACAAAUGUGUAUUUAUUUUGAGAGAUCACAUAUAAAUGGUGGAUAUAUAAAAUUUAAUUAGACGUAUCAUACAUACAUCAAUUACUUGUAUUACAUUUGACGUAUUCUAUUUGAUGUAUUCUAGAACUUCUCGUAUUUGAAUUUAUCUAUUGUCACUUUUUUCUUCCACGUUAAAACAAUUGAAAGCCUUAAGUCUUCAUAGCACAACAUUAUUUUUAUUAUUAUUUAUAUUGAUUCAAUUCUAAAACUUGAACAGAGACCUUUCUUGGUAUAGUCUAUUUAAAGUUCAGAUCAAAAAUCUGCUCCAAAAAGAUAGAGAGAGUUACUCAGAAAUUUUAUAACUGCUGUAAAAGUUUACAACUACUGCCACUCAAAUUUUAGAGCUAGCGGCCAUGGGCAUUCUUGUUUCAUCUCAAACAAGUGCUGUAGCUGCAAUUUUAAUCACCCUUUUAAUCAUUCUAUACACGUCGUUUCUAGUUUCAAGAAAUUUGCUUAGAAAAUGCAUAGGCAAGAAGAAAAGGGGAGCACCAGAAGCAGGUGGAGCUUGGCCAGUGAUUGGCCAUCUACACCUCUUACGAGGGCCAAAACCUCCUUACAGGGUGUUCGACAAAAUGGCUGACAAGUAUGGACCAAUCUUUAUUAUCAGGAUGGGCAAAAAUCCAGCUUUAAUCGUGAGUAAUUGGGAGAUUGCUAAAGAGUGUCUCACAACACAUGACAAAGUCUUUGCCAACCGUCCUAAAACUCUAGCCAUGGAGAUUUUAGGCUACAAUUUUUCCAUGUUUGGCUUCAGCCCAUAUGGCUCCUACUGGCGCGAGACACGCAAGAUAGCCACACUUGGGCUUCUCUCAAACCAUCGGCUUGAGAAGCUGAAGCACGUACGAGAAUACGAGGUGAAGACAUGUUUGAAGGAGUUAUAUGAGUUAUGGCACAAGAACAAAAGCACUAAUAAGAUAUUGCUAGUAGAGAUGAAGAAAUGGUUUGGGGACACCCUCCGUAAUGUGGUUUUAAGAAUGGUUGUUGGAAAGGGGUGCAAUUCAGUGGAUAGUGAAGAAUGGAAAGAACUACUGACGAGAUUUUUUGAAAUGAGUGGUAAGUUUGUGGUGUCAGAUGCGCUACCGUUUAUGAGAUGGUUGGAUAUAGGGGGUGAUGAGAGGUCAAUGAAGAAGAUUGCCAAAGAAUUAGACGUUGUUGCUCAAGGAUGGUUAGAAGAGCACAAGAGGAAGAGAGACUCUCAGGAGAUUAAAAAAGAAGAAGAUUUUAUGUAUGUCAUGCUUUCAAUCCUAGGUGAUACAGAGCAAUAUUUGGGUCGUGAUGUUGAUACAAUCAAUAAAGCUAUUUGUCUGGUAAGCCUUUCCUAACCGACUUUUUUUUAUUAUUUUAAUUAUAGUCUGAGCUCGACUCAAUCACCUCUACAUUCUCUGCAUCCACAUGAGUGGAGUAUUCGAACUUAGAACUACUUUUUCAUGUUUUAGUAUUUUAUAUUUUUAUUUUUAAUGUAGACACACUAGUAAGGUGAACUAAUCCUAAGCCUUAACAAAGUUAUUUCUUACCAAUGAAACUAGACCUUACCUUAGACCUCUUCUUUUUACUCAAGAAGUUUUACUAAUUUGUACAUAACAUUUAAUAUAAUAUUCUAUCUUUUUCAAAACAGUUUACGCUCAUAGUCAUUAAAACUGUUGUACACAUCUUUCUUCAAGAUAAGAUUAACAAACCAGAGCAACUAAUAAAUUUGUAAUAUGUGAAUUAAUAAUAUUUAGUUAUUCUAUUUCCACAUUGAAAGGAAAAAAAAGUGAAUUAAAUUGUUGAUGAAAUCAUCAUCCAUUCAUUAUGUAUCGCAUUAGUCAAUUUGGACCUACGUUUUUUAACAAGUCAUUGGUAAUGUAUUGGUAGAUUUGACAUGGUGCAUUGAAUCUAAUUCUACUAGUAAAAUUCAAAAGGUGCCAAAAAAAUAAGUGUUGAAGUCGAAUUUCAUUAAGUUCCAUUGUGAAUAACUGUAACAUAUGAAAGCAAAACAACACCUUACACACUAUCAAUUUUGCAGGCUCUUAUCUUGGGAGCAGCAGACACCACAACAGUAACACUGACAUGGGUUAUGUCUUUGCUUCUCAAUCAUCGUGAUAUUCUAAACAAGGCUCAAAAUGAACUAGAUAUUCAGGUGGGCACAAAAAGACAAGUGAAUGAAUCAGAUAUAAAAAAUUUAGUUUACUUGCAAGCCAUUCUCAAAGAAGCAAUGCGUUUGUAUCCGGCUGGGCCACUUUUAGUUCCCCAUGAGUCUAUAGAAGAAUGCACAGUUAAUGGUUACCAUGUCCCUGCCAGCACACAACUUUUUAUCAAUGCUUGGAAAAUUCAACGUGAUCCAAGUGUCUGGGAAGAGCCAUCUAAGUUUCAGCCAGAAAGAUUUUUGACGAGGCAUAAGGAUAUUGAUGUUAAGGGACAAAAUUUUGAAUUGUUACCUUUUAGUAGUGGUAGAAGAAUGUGUCCUGGAGUGUCAUUUGCCCUCCAAGUUAUGCAAUUUACACUUGCUUCUCUACUUCAGGGAUUUAAUUUUGCAACCCCAUCUAAUGAACCAGUGGACAUGGGUGAAGGAUUAGGGUUGACCAU